This is a long non-coding RNA of Mytilus trossulus (common blue mussel), 1061 nucleotides long. RefSeq lists it as uncharacterized. The transcript has 2 exons. The record is from RefSeq and is a predicted model, not a curated record. Lineage: Eukaryota; Metazoa; Mollusca; Bivalvia; Mytilida; Mytilidae.
ACGAAAAUCGAAGGUACGAAACUCCAGUAAUAGGCUUACAUUGAUUCUGGGGACUUGAUAUAAAUCGACUAAAUUUGUCCAGAAAUUCAUUUUCUGCCAGUUUCCUCAGCUGUCAAAAAUAAUGGAUACACCUGUUUAUAUUCUAGGAUUUUACUAUUUCUAAACCAUAAGAGCAAAAUGCAUGUUCUAGCAAUAGAAAAGAUAAUACUGUUUACAAGUGAAUUUUCAUUCGAUAUUUUGUUGAAACAGAUGUGGGAUUGUAGGGAGAUUUUUAUAAAUGCUUGGAAACUAACAAAUUGUCUUGUAACUUCAUGAGAUUUUAAAAAUGUUGCUGUUCCAAUGUCGAGAAAUUGUAAAACAAAGUAAUAGAAUAGUUAAAGAAGUCGUACAGUAAAUGGAUUUCUGUCAACUUGAGCAGGAUAGGUGUAUUUCCUUGCGGCUUUCUUCGACACUGACUGUGGUCUAAUUAAAAAAAGACAGUGGACUUAAAACACAGAAAUGUUGUUUUUUCCACCUGGCCACACGACCAUUGAAAAUAUCAGAAACAGAAAUGCUAAUUUAUUCAAAGAACGAAAGCUACUUGCUAGGAACUCAGCAAAAUUAGCAUAAUGACAAUAAUUGCACUGCAGUGGCUAUUUCGACCAUUUGACAACCACCAUUGGACUUGACCACAUCAGAGCUAAAGGAGAUGAAUAUACAAAUACCCUCAUUUUUGAAUAUAAAUAUCUUAUUAUUAUAAAGCACCGUAAGCCUAGCGUGUGUGGAGUUAUUACGAGACUGAAUUGUGAUUCCAUGCAUGUCCGAUGUAGCAAAGGACACGUGUUGCAGGCACCAAGAGACUGCUUUUGUUCAAUUAUAGGUCGGUAAUGACGCAGAAUAUAGUUGUAGGAAGAAUAAUUAUAUAUAACGAGAGUGGUUCAGUCGAAAAUAACUUUGUAUUGUUAUACAUAACACACAAUAAUAUCAUGAUACUUUAAAGGAUUUUUUAUCCCCGCAUGUUGUGUUUUCAAUUAAAAAUAAUAAAAGAUUUUUUAUCAAAAUAAAAUUUCUAGCAUAAAUAA